UGGGGAAUUUUGGACAAUGGGCGAAAGCCUGAUCCAGCAAUGCCGCGUGUGUGAAGAAGGCCUUCGGGUUGUAAAGCACUUUUGUCCGGAAAGAAAUCCUUGGCUCUAAUACAGUCGGGGGAUGACGGUACCGGAAGAAUAAGCACCGGCUAACUACGUGCCAGCAGCCGCGGUAAUACGUAGGGUGCAAGCGUUAAUCGGAAUUACUGGGCGUAAAGCGUGCGCAGGCGGUUUGCUAAGACCGAUGUGAAAUCCCCGGGCUCAACCUGGGAACUGCAUUGGUGACUGGCAGGCUAGAGUAUGGCAGAGGGGGGUAGAAUUCCACGUGUAGCAGUGAAAUGCGUAGAGAUGUGGAGGAAUACCGGUGGCGAAGGCAGCCCCCUGGGCCAAUACUGACGCUCAUGCACGAAAGCGUGGGGAGCAAACAGGAUUAGAUACCCUGGUAGUCCACGCCCUAAACGAUGUCAACUAGUUGUUGGGGAUUCAUUUCCUUAGUAACGUAGCUAACGCGUGAAGUUGACCGCCUGGGGAGUACGGUCGCAAGAUUAAAACUUAAAUGAAUUGACGGGGUCAUAGCUGUUUCCU
Molecule: ribosomal RNA, 585 nt
Filed under: uncultured bacterium
Lineage: Bacteria
Description: partial 16S ribosomal RNA
Rfam family: Bacterial small subunit ribosomal RNA
Source: RNAcentral